Molecule: ribosomal RNA, 553 nt
Filed under: Nectria sp. EHS144
Lineage: Eukaryota; Fungi; Ascomycota; Sordariomycetes; Hypocreales; Nectriaceae
Description: eukaryotic LSU rRNA
Rfam family: Eukaryotic large subunit ribosomal RNA
Source: RNAcentral
GGAUUGCCCUAGUAACGGCGAGUGAAGCGGCAACAGCUCAAAUUUGAAAUCUGGCCCUCGGGUCCGAGUUGUAAUUUGUAGAGGAUGCUUUUGGUGCGGUACCUUCCGAGUUCCCUGGAACGGGACGCCAUAGAGGGUGAGAGCCCCGUCUGGUUGGAUACCAAUCCUCUGUAAAGCUCCUUCGACGAGUCGAGUAGUUUGGGAAUGCUGCUCUAAAUGGGAGGUAUAUGUCUUCUAAAGCUAAAUACCGGCCAGAGACCGAUAGCGCACAAGUAGAGUGAUCGAAAGAUGAAAAGCACUUUGAAAAGAGGGUUAAACAGUACGUGAAAUUGUUGAAAGGGAAGCGCUUGUGACCAGACUUGGGCCCGGUUAAUCAUCCAGCGUUCUCGCUGGUGCACUUGGCCGGCCCAGGCCAGCAUCAGUUCGGCGCGGGGGAUAAAGGCUUUGGGAAUGUGGCUCCUCCCGGGAGUGUUAUAGCCCACAUGCGUAAUACCCUGCGCUGGACUGAGGUUCGCGCAUCUGCAAGGAUGCUGGCGUAAUGGUCAUCAGCGAC